Molecule: ribosomal RNA, 253 nt
Filed under: uncultured bacterium
Lineage: Bacteria
Description: partial 16S ribosomal RNA
Rfam family: Bacterial small subunit ribosomal RNA
Source: RNAcentral
UACGUAGGGUCCGAGCGUUGUCCGGAAUUAUUGGGCGUAAAGGGUGCGUAGGCGGCGCGGUAAGUCGGGUGUGAAAUUUCGAGGCUUAACUUCGAAACUGCAUUCGAUACUGCCGUGCUUGAGGACUGGAGAGGAGACUGGAAUUUACGGUGUAGCGGUGAAAUGCGUAGAUAUCGUAAGGAAGACCAGUGGCGAAGGCGGGUCUCUGGACAGUUCCUGACGCUGAGGCACGAAGGCCAGGGGAGCAAACGGG